GAUGAACGCUGGCGGCGUGCCUAAUACAUGCAAGUAGAACGCUGAAGGAGGAGCUUGCUCUUCUGGAUGAGUUGCGAACGGGUGAGUAACGCGUAGGUAACCUGCCUGGUAGCGGGGGAUAACUAUUGGAAACGAUAGCUAAUACCGCAUGACAACAGUUAUUGCAUGAUAACUGUUUAAAAGGGGCAACUGCUCCACUACCAGAUGGACCUGCGUUGUAUUAGCUAGUUGGUGAGGUAACGGCUCACCAAGGCGACGAUACAUAGCCGACCUGAGAGGGUGAUCGGCCACACUGGGACUGAGGCACGGCCCAGACUCCUACGGGAGGCAGCAGUAGGGAAUCUUCGGCAAUGGACGGAAGUCUGACCGAGCAACGCCGCGUGAGUGAAGAAGGUUUUCGGAUCGUAAAGCUCUGUUGUAAGAGAAGAACGAGUGUGAGAGUGGAAAGUUCACACUGUGACGGUAGCUUACCAGAAAGGGACGGCUAACUACGUG
Molecule: ribosomal RNA, 495 nt
Filed under: uncultured bacterium
Lineage: Bacteria
Description: partial 16S ribosomal RNA
Rfam family: Bacterial small subunit ribosomal RNA
Source: RNAcentral